Long non-coding RNA from Pipra filicauda (Wire-tailed manakin), 530 nucleotides. RefSeq lists it as uncharacterized. The record is from RefSeq and is a predicted model, not a curated record. The transcript is spliced from 3 exons. Lineage: Eukaryota; Metazoa; Chordata; Aves; Passeriformes; Pipridae.
GCUCGACACUAAUGGUGUGUGAGUGACUGUGCAGACCUUGCUGUUGUAGACUACCUCUCUCACCUUCUGGGCCACCAGCUUCAGCAAACAGUCAUUUCACAGUACAUUUCAUUGAAGAACAAAGGAAAAGGAUAAGCCUUUAAAAAGCUACAGAAAGGAAAGAGUUGUGUUUCUAAGAGCAAAGAUUUAAGCAAAGUCAAAAAAGCUUGUCCAAGUUAAAGGCCCAGGGUUUAUCACUAUGUGGAUAUAAUCAAACCUGUGUAUUCUACACCCUCUAUGUAAUUUCUGACGGACUGUUAAUAAAUGGAUCAUUUGCAGUAGCUGCUGAGGGCACACCUGACACCUCAGGCUACAAGAACUGCCUCCUGGCUAGACCAAACUGGCAAAAAGAAGCAUUCCUUUCCCAUAACUUGGGGAAGGGAAACGGAGGAGGAAAAGGGAACGGCUCAGAAUGUACGGCCAAGAGGCCCUAGGAGGUGCUUUUGCCACCCUGUUGUGAGCUCAUGUAGCCCUGAGUGUCCACGAAUAAA